CCUACGGGUGGCAGCAGUCGAGAAUCAUUCACAAUGGGGGAAACCCUGAUGGUGCGACGCCGCGUGGGGGAAUGAAGGUCUUCGGAUUGUAAACCCCUGUCAUGUGGGGGCAAAUUAAAAAGAUAGUACCACAAGAGGAAGAGACGGCUAACUCUGAGCCAGCAGCCGCGGUAAGACAGAGGUCUCAAGCGUUGUUCGGAAUCACUGGGCGUAAAGCGUGCGUAGGCUGUUUCGUAAGUAGUGUGUGAAAGGCGCGGGCUCAACCCGCGGACGGCACAUGAUACUGCGAGACGAGAGGAAUGGAGGGGGAACCGGAAUUCUCGGUGUAGCAGUGAAAUGCGUAGAUAUCGAGAGGAACACUCGUGGCGAAGGCGGGUUCCUGGACAUUAACUGACGCUGAGGCACGAAGGCCAGGGGAGCGAAAGGGAUUAGAUACCCCUGUAGUC
This 446-nucleotide ribosomal RNA is filed under the name uncultured bacterium. RNAcentral's name for it is "partial 16S ribosomal RNA". It matches the Rfam family "Bacterial small subunit ribosomal RNA", at positions 338 to 795 of the family's 1533-position model. The record is from RNAcentral.